Arachis ipaensis is the source of this 1347-nucleotide long non-coding RNA. RefSeq lists it as uncharacterized. The record is from RefSeq and is a predicted model, not a curated record. NCBI's taxonomy places the organism in Eukaryota, Viridiplantae, Streptophyta, Magnoliopsida, Fabales, Fabaceae.
CUAACCUUACCUCACCGCCACUCACCCUACCCUCUCUUAACACAUACAGCCGUAUCAAAAUCCUGCACCUAAGCCAUUCCAAUUUGCAAUUCCAUUUCAUUCAUAGAUUCCAUUAUUAAAUGAUGUCAUGAGAUGACUUAGUCAAUGUCCCAUACUCAACAAUCCCUAAAGCCCCUCGAACUCACCACUCCAUUGAUUCCUGCAUCUUCCAACUCCGUACGUGGAAGCCCUUCACUAACAAACACCCUUGUUUCUCCGAAGGCAAAACCCCUUCUGUUCCGAUUGACCUUUCCAAGCUUUCUCUUCUCGACAAUGAUUCCACUCCUAAACCCGUCAAUUCAUCAUCCUGCCAUCACUACUACCAUGAAGCCGCCGAACAGAGCUGAGGAAGAGAGAGGGACGAACUCGCGAGGGAGAAGGAGAGGAGGUUGUGCUGCCGCCGCUACCCAGGGUCCGUCACCGUCGCCAAAGUUCGCAACGCCGUCGGGAAGCCCAGCCGCGGUGAGAUAGAGAGCGCUCAUGAGGGUUAGAGCCACGAGUUGUGAACCGCCGCUGUUGACGGAGAAGAGGAGAGAUCCGAGAGAAGGAGAGAAAGAGAAGCUGCGCCGCCUCCUCGCGCCAGUCACCGUCGCUGUUCGUGACGAAACUCGUCGCCGCCAUCCGUGCUUCUGUCGCCAUCGGAACCGUACGCCGCCGUUAGAAGGACCUUCAUCGCUGUUGUUAACGCGAACGAGAGAGAAGGAAGACCGAGGAAAGAAGGGGUUGUUCCCUUCGUUACCGAGCCACAGCCACCGUCGUCACUGUCGGGCCACCACCGGAGGAGGUCUGUGCUACUAGAGCUCAACGGAAGUCACUUGGGGAUGCUGUCACUCCUCCUAGUUCUGUUUGAAUCGCGUCACCGCACCCCUGGAUGUCGGGAACGGCGCCAUAGCCGCCGGAAUCACUGCUCGAGUUGUUGCUUUUCAGUUCAGUGUUUCUUCUUAGUUGCGAGUUACUGUGGUUGCUGCGGAAGUGGGUUGGAGUUGAGGUUGUGGCUAUCGAGGUUAUAAGCCGAGAAGAAGGGGUUUUGACGCACUGUAUAGCUUUUGAGUUUUGACGAGUUGAGCUUUACCUUUUCAGGAACCGGAUGAAGAAGCAUUAAAAAGAGAUAUACUGCGUUUAGUUUAUAAGAUAUUGUGUUAAUUAGAUUAUUUUCUUCCCUCGUCUUUGUUAUUACGAGUUUGUAAGAGGGAUAGGAAUUGUAUGUUUGAUAUGUAUAUUAUAUUAUGAGUUAUUAUGUAAGGAGUCUUAUAUAUGAAUCUUAUUCCUGUUUGUAUUUUUUCUUAAGAUAAAGUGUUUAAUUUCGGU